Small nuclear RNA from Dendrobium catenatum, 195 nucleotides. RefSeq annotates it as U2 spliceosomal RNA. Lineage: Eukaryota; Viridiplantae; Streptophyta; Magnoliopsida; Asparagales; Orchidaceae. The transcript has a single exon. The record is from RefSeq and is a predicted model, not a curated record.
AUACCUUUCUCGGCCUUUUGGUUAAGAUCAUGUGUAGUAUAUGUUCUUAUCAGUUUAAUAUCUGAUACGUUGACCAUUGGCUCACUAUAAUAUUAAAUUAUUUUUUUUUAGGGAGGGCCCAUUCUAGCAGCUUGCUACAAGGGUCUUCGAGCGUCGCCUUAGCGUUGCACUAAAGCCAUGGCAGGCGCACCCCUA